GCGCCCGUAGCUCAGCUGGAUAGAGCAACGGACUUCUAAUCCGUGGGUCGGAGGUUCGAAUCCUCUCGGGUGCG
Molecule: transfer RNA, 74 nt
Filed under: Tepidanaerobacter syntrophicus
Lineage: Bacteria; Bacillati; Bacillota; Clostridia; Thermosediminibacterales; Tepidanaerobacteraceae
Rfam family: tRNA
About the family: Transfer RNA (tRNA) molecules are approximately 80 nucleotides in length. Their secondary structure includes four short double-helical elements and three loops (D, anti-codon, and T loops). Further hydrogen bonds mediate the characteristic L-shaped molecular structure. tRNAs have two regions of fundamental functional importance: the anti-codon, which is responsible for specific mRNA codon recognition, and the 3' end, to which the tRNAs corresponding amino acid is attached (by aminoacyl-tRNA synthetases). tRNAs cope with the degeneracy of the genetic code in two manners: having more than one tRNA (with a specific anti-codon) for a particular amino acid; and 'wobble' base-pairing, i.e. permitting non-standard base-pairing at the 3rd anti-codon position.
Source: Rfam by way of RNAcentral